RNAcentral lists this ribosomal RNA (468 nucleotides) under uncultured bacterium. Its description in RNAcentral is "bacterial SSU rRNA". It matches the Rfam family "Bacterial small subunit ribosomal RNA", at positions 29 to 485 of the family's 1533-position model. The record is from RNAcentral.
AAUGAACGCUGGCGGCGUGCCUAACACAUGCAAGUCGGAUGUGCCGCAAGGUGCAUGGCAGACGGGUGAGUAACGCGUAGGGAAUCUACCUCUUUGUGGGGACUAACGCUCCGAAAGGAGUGGUAAUACCGCAUGAGACCGAUGUCUGGGAUGACAUCGGUGAAACCUGGGGACCGGUAACGGCCUGGGGCAAGGAGAGGAUCCUGCGUCUGAUUAGCUAGUUGGCGGGGUAAUGGCCCACCAAGGCGACGAUCAGUAGCCGGCCUGAGAGGGUGAUCGGCCACACUGGAACUGAGACACGGGUCCAGACUCCUACGGGAGGCAGCAGUGGGGAAUUUUUGCGCAAUGGGCGAAAGCCUGACGCAGCAACGCCGCGUGGGUGAUGAAGGUCUUCGGACUGUAAAACCCUGUCGUCAGGGACGAAGGGUGCGCAUGUUAAUAGCAUGUGUACUUGACGGUACCUGGAGA